AGUGAACGCUGGCGGUAGGCCUAACACAUGCAAGUCGAACGGCAGCACAGUAAGAGCUUGCUCUUACGGGUGGCGAGUGGCGGACGGGUGAGGAAUACAUCGGAAUCUACUUUUUCGUGGGGGAUAACGUAGGGAAACUUACGCUAAUACCGCAUACGACCUACGGGUGAAAGCAGGGGAUCUUCGGACCUUGCGCGAUUGAAUGAGCCGAUGUCGGAUUAGCUAGUUGGCGGGGUAAAGGCCCACCAAGGCGACGAUCCGUAGCUGGUCUGAGAGGAUGAUCAGCCACACUGGAACUGAGACACGGUCAAGACUCCUACGAGAGGCAGCAGUGGGGAAUAUUGGACAAUGGGCGCAAGCCUGAUCCAGCCAUCCCGCGUGGGUGAAGAAGGCCUUCGGGUUGUAAAGCCCUUUUGUUGGGAAAGAAAAGCAGCAGGUUAAUACCCCGCUGUUCUGACGGUACCCAAAGAAUAAGCACCGGCUAACUUCGUG
This 492-nucleotide ribosomal RNA is filed under the name uncultured bacterium. RNAcentral describes it as "partial 16S ribosomal RNA". It matches the Rfam family "Bacterial small subunit ribosomal RNA", at positions 29 to 507 of the family's 1533-position model. The record is from RNAcentral.